RNA transcript from Oncorhynchus gorbuscha (pink salmon), 3598 nucleotides. It is a transcript of the gene named cGMP-dependent protein kinase 1-like, with no coding region annotated. NCBI's taxonomy places the organism in Eukaryota, Metazoa, Chordata, Actinopteri, Salmoniformes, Salmonidae. The record is from RefSeq and is a predicted model, not a curated record. The transcript has 21 exons.
CGAGAUGGCAUCGGAGGAGAUGGCUGCCAUUUCACAGGCUCUGAACCAAUUGUGCUAUUGUGUGUGCUUUGUCGCAUUAUUUGUAACUUAUUUUGUACAUAAUGUUUCUGCUACAGUCUCCUUUGACCGAAAAGAGCUCCUGGAUAUCAGUACAGCGAUUACUCACCUCGUACUGGACAAAGAUUUUUUCUUUAACGAGUCGGACGGAAAGGAUUUACUCAGACACCCAAAUCACCUUCAUUCGCAAGAGACCGAUAUAUUGGGGAUGUAAGUCAGGGUGCCUUGUAAGGAUCCGACAGCGAGUGGGUAAUCCACCUCCACCAUCAGUCCUAUUUGCCAAUGUGCAACCAUUGGAUAAUAAGUGGAUGAGCUCCGAUCAAGAAUAUCCUACCAACGGGACAUUAAAAAACUGUAAUAUCUUAUGUUUCACUGGGUCAUGGCUGAACAAUGACAUGGAUAACAUACAGCUGGCUGGGUUUUCGGUGCAUCGGGCAAGAUAGAACAGCUGCCUCUGGGAAGACAAGGAGUGGAGCCAUGGAGUGCCAGGUGGAGGAGCUGAGGCAGCAGCUGGAGAAACAGACCCUAGUCAACCAGGAGCUGCAGAACCACAACAAGGACCUGGAAAGAAGACUGCAGGAGACGGAGAAGUUGCUGCAGGAGCUUCAGAGUCAUUACCAUGACCUGGACUUCCCUGAUCAGAGGAUCAGUAAUGAAGGGGGACUUGUGGUCAGGAAGAGCAGAGUGGCUGUCAUGGCCCCUGAGCCAAUCCCAGAGGAUCAGCAGGAGAUCAUAAAGACUAAAGUCAAGAAGACCGUCAGUGAGACGAGUCUGAUCAUCAAGGCCAUCCAGAAGAAUGACUUCCUGAGUCGCCUUGACGAUGAGCAGAUAACCAUGAUGGUGGAGCUCCUGGUGGCAAUCGACUUCAAACCAGGAAAUGAUGUAAUCAAGGAGGGCACUGAGGGAGACAGCAUGUACAUCGUAGCAGCGGGUGAGCUCCUUGUCAGUCAAGCAGAUUGUAACCUUCGAACCCUGACCUGUGGGGAUGUUUUUGGAGAGUUGGCUAUUCUGUAUAACUGCAAACGCACAGCCACAGUCAAAGCCAAGACAGUGGUGCGUCUGUGGUUUAUGGAGAGACAGAUGUAUAGAACCAUCAUGACCAACAAGUCCAAGAAGAAACGUGAACAGCUAAUGGGCUUCCUAAAAACGUCUCGGACUCUGAAGGCCCUAAAUGACAGUCAGCUCUCUAAGAUAAUUGACUCCAUGGAGGAGGUGAAGUACCAGAACAAUGAUGUCAUUGUGCGUGAGGGGGCGGAGGGCAACACGUUCUACAUCAUUCUCAAAGGAGAGGUCAAGGUGACUAAGAAGUUGAAUGGGCAGGAGAAACAGAUUCGCAAGAUGGGCAAAGGGGAGCAUUUCGGGGAAUUGGCCCUGAUACGUGAAAUCCUGAGGACUGCAACAUGUACUGCUGUUGGCCCUGUGACCUGCAUCUCCAUCGAUAAGGAGGUGUUUGAGGAGACGAUCCCCAUUGAACACCUGGAGCUCCAUGAUGACAUCAGCUCUAUGGUUUUGGAGGAGCCAGAUGCUCCAGAGAAGACCAGUCCUAGUUCCUAUCUGAGACUGAAGGACCUGAUCCCCGUACUGUACCAGGAGGGGCGUUACCAGGGAGAACCUGUCACUCUCGGAGUGGGAGGGUUUGGUCGCGUUGAACUGGUGACCACUCUGCAUCAUGGAAAGUACUUUGCCAUGAAGAGGGUCAGUAAGAAACACAUUGUUGCCAAGCGACAGGAGGAGCACGUCCUGUUUGAGAAGAGGAUCCUCAAAGCCAUCAAGAGUGACUUCAUUGUCAGGCUCCAUUCUGCCUUCAAAGACACUCGCUACAUCUACAUGAUUAUGGAGUUCUGUGUAGGAGGGGAGAUCUGGACCAAGCUCAAAGAAGUUGGACGAUUUGAUGAGCCCAUUGCUGUAUUCUGCGCUGCCUGUGUAGUGGAGGCCUACGCCUACCUCCAUAAAAAGGGCAUCAUGUACAGAGACCUCAAGCCUGAGAAUUUGAUGCUGGAUGCCAAGGGCUACGUUAAACUGGUGGACUUUGGCUUUGCUAAGGAGUUAGUGCAUGGUAAUAAGACCUACUCAUUCUGUGGUACUCCAGAAUACAUGGCCCCAGAAAUCAUCCAGAACCAGGGACAUGACUUUGCUGCUGACUUCUGGUCCCUGGGCAUCCUAGUCUAUGAGCUGCUGGUGGGGAGACUGUUUUACCUUUCAGCCCUCCAUUCUCCAGUUCUGAGCCCGCGAAGAUCUACCCUAAAAUUUUGGACGGGGUGCUCAAGUUCCCACCUUACAUGGGCGAGGGGGCCAAGUCCCUCAUCAGUAAACUGUGCAGGCCUCGACCGGGUCAGAGGCUGGGAAACACCAAGAAUGGGAUUAAAGAUGUACGCCACCACAGGUGGUUCAGCAGUAUGAACUGGCACAAGCUGCGUGUGGGCCAGGUGGAGGCUCCUACAAUCAGACUCAUACGUAAGGUCAGUCUAGCCACAGCAGGGUCCGUGCUACAUCAACUUUGAUCGCUUCCCCUUCGACCAGGCUCUGGCUGAUGAGGAGUUCUCCGGCUGGGACAAAAACCUCUGACUUGAACCAGAACCUGAACCAGUCCAAGUGAGUCAGAGUUCAGAGGUCACGGGUUCACUGAUAGAUUUACCCAGAUCAGACUACUUCUUGGUGACAUUGGUUUACCCCUUACCUUUAAGACUCUGAACGCAAUGUAGGGGUAGGGACACAUGUGCUCAUUGAAAGCUGUAUGUGUGUGUUGUGCCCAAAAGAAAGAUUAAGUAAUUUAAGAAAAGUUUGGAUGAAAUGUCUCAUGCUGGACAAAGAUAUGGUUUUACCGUUGACCCUCAUUGUACUUUGUAAUUUAGGAUGGCAUUAUUGUUAGUCUCUGUUGCUUGUCUGUAUAGAAUACUCAGUGUAUGUGUUUCACAUUAAAAUAAAUGUAUACGUCACCAAUGACCCUUAAACGUGUACAUAGAGGGGAAAAGGUGCUUCAGUACAUGUCAACACUGCUGGGUGGAGGCUGAACAGGAAUGCAGUCUGUUCUAAAUGGAAUCCUAUACUGUGGUUUGGUACAGAGCACAGGUUUGGUAUGACGUCAAGUACUAUGUAGUAUUUGAACAUCAUUACACACUUCCUCAGUGUCUGUUAGCUUGACUUAAGCUAUUUUACUUGACUGUGGUGAAUCAAUCAAGUCAUCAGACCUCUAAGGACAAACAACUCUUAUCAGGAGGGAAUAACAAACAACAAAUCAAUAUGCCUAAUCUCUGAUUGUGGUCUGAAGUACAUCUGAUUUAUAUUGGAUUAAAAAGGAACUGGAUGAUUGAUCAAUAUGUUUGGUACAAGGGGAGUACAAAUUGCCAUUGACAAUACUACUUUUAUGAUUAAUAAUAUUUUGUAUAUGAUGCCAAGGACAGCUUCCAGUGUUUGUUACUACUGUUUUUCAUUUGUGUAAAUCUUCCAGGCCAUCUUUGUAUACUGAACAAAAUAUAAAUGAAACUGUGUUGGUUUCAUGUUUCAUGAACUGAAAUAAAAGAUCCCAGACAUUUUCAAUACA